RNAcentral lists this ribosomal RNA (109 nucleotides) under uncultured bacterium. Its description in RNAcentral is "partial 16S ribosomal RNA". It matches the Rfam family "Bacterial small subunit ribosomal RNA", at positions 1373 to 1482 of the family's 1533-position model. The record is from RNAcentral.
CCCGGGUCUUGUACACACCGCCGUCACACCAUGGGAGUUGGUUUUACCCGAAGGCGGUGCGCCAACCGUAAGGAGGCAGCCGACCACGGUAAGGUCAGCGACUGGGGUG